This 296-nucleotide ribosomal RNA is filed under the name Enterobacter hormaechei. RNAcentral's name for it is "partial 23S ribosomal RNA". It matches the Rfam family "Bacterial large subunit ribosomal RNA", at positions 1252 to 1551 of the family's 2925-position model. Lineage: Bacteria; Pseudomonadati; Pseudomonadota; Gammaproteobacteria; Enterobacterales; Enterobacteriaceae. The record is from RNAcentral.
GAAGGUGUGCUGUGAGGCAUGCUGGAGGUAUCAGAAGUGCGAAUGCUGACAUAAGUAACGAUAAAGCGGGUGAAAAGCCCGCUCGCCGGAAGACCAAGGGUUCCUGUCCAACGUUAAUCGGGGCAGGGUGAGUCGACCCCUAAGGCGAGGCCGAAAGGCGUAGUCGAUGGGAAACAGGUUAAUAUUCCUGUACUUGGUGUUACUGCGAAGGGGGGACGGAGAAGGCUAUGUCAGCCGGGCGACGGUUGUCCCGGUUUAAGCAUGUAGGCGGAGGUUCCAGGUAAAUCCGGUACCUU